Molecule: long non-coding RNA, 3191 nt
Filed under: Fragaria vesca (wild strawberry)
Lineage: Eukaryota; Viridiplantae; Streptophyta; Magnoliopsida; Rosales; Rosaceae
Description: long non-coding RNA (FVES_LNC003651)
Source: RNAcentral
ACAUAGGUUGGGGUACCAUCACUCUUGGUCUUUGUUUAUAGGCAUAAGCCCCAUCCCCCUGGAUGUAUCACCUACUAGCUUUCGACCUACUGGUUUUGUUAAGGGAUCCGCUAAAUUUAACUCAGAUUGCACAUAGUCAAUUGAUAUGACUCCAUGCUCAAGCCAUUGCUUCACAGUAUUAAGUCUUAGGCGUAUGUGCCUAUUUUUCCCAUUAUACGUUUGAUUUUUAGCUCUAGCUAUAGCAGCUUGGCUAUCACAAUGCAAAGACACAGACGGAGCUGGUCUCUUUAAGGAAAAAAAAAAAUACGGUCUCAAUCCAAACUUUGAUAGCCAUGUCUCUAAUUGCCAAAAAUCAGAGACACAUAACCAAAUUUCAAAUUCAACAUGAAAUAGAAAACCAAAUGGUAACCCAUAACCAAAAUUGAAAUCAAACAAAGAAUUACCUAGACUGCUAUGCCAAUUGACCGGACAUGAACAACAGAAAAAGCAAUUCACUUUAAUAAGAGGAUGGUGUAAAACAGGAAAUAAGAUCGAAGCAAUUGAGCUAGUACUUACAUUCACCAUAUUUAGUUUCCAGCCAAGUCCAGUUAUCUCUCCAAUUUUGUAUUCAGGUUGCACUCAAUAGAAAAAAUAAGAGAGAAAAAGAAAUUAAUAUAUAAUCAUACAUGAUUGAUAUAUGAUCUUCUAAAAUGAUUAUAGAAAAAUUAGGAAGUUCUACACACCUUUGUGCAUUCAUAUCCCUCAGUUCUGAUUGCUUCCAAAGAGUGUCAUUGGCACCCAUAUGAGACUUGAGUACUCGGUCAGUAUCCCAUUGCCUCCUCCCAUGUGUUGCCUGAACCAAAAGAUGCAUUCACUUGGCUAGUCCCCCCACCAACCCCAGCUGUGGACAACUAUAUAUCUGCAUACAAACAGGAAAGGAAAAGGCACUGAAGCUAUAAUACAAACAGUCAGUUGGGAUAAACACACAGCUACAUACUGAUUGAUAACACCAUUUUUUUUUCCAUCCUCAGCAAGUACAAGUCCAUUGCAAACGAGAUUCUGAAAGGCAAGAGGCAUGAUUGCCAAAUAAUGAGGUAGAUAACACCAUAAGUGUAGAACCUGCAUCAUAAUCAGAGGGAAGCAAUGAGGCCUAGCUUAGACAUUAGAAACUUGUGCCCAAGUUAGGACAAAAGCUGACACAAAGGAAUCUAAUCCUACAAUAGUCAGCCGACAGUCAUUAUAUUAAUUAAAAAGAAAAAGAAACAACUUACGAACAACAAAAUGGUUUUUCUAUUAGUUACCAAAAUAAACUCCCUAUUAUGUUUCCAACUGUACUUCAUAGUUUUCAGAGUCUUCAUCUAACACUAGAAUCCAUGUGGAAAGAAGUAUCAUUACCACACAUGUACAUACAUAAUUGAUAUAUAUAUAUAUAUAUAUAUAUAUAUAUAUAUAUNNNNNNNNNNNNNNNNNNNNAUAUAUGCCAAGACCAUCGCAAGCAAAAAGUCUAAAAUUUGAUAAAUUGUAUUAGGGUAAGGCACCACAAAUCACAUACACAACACAAUACAAAGCACAAAUUUUAAGACUUAGUUCUCUACAGGAAGGCAUUUGCCUCUGCAAACUUAUCCCGAACUGGAAGUUGUUAGGAGCUUUUUUGCAACCUAGAAGCACAAACAAAAAAAAAAGGGGAAAAAAAAAACUUACNNNNNNNNNNNNNNNNNNNNUUACAGAAUAACUACACUUAAUCAUUAGAUAACUAAUUCCUGUUACAAAGUGUGAGACUUGCAGAAUUACCGAAAUAGAUGAAUCUUGCUUGUCCUUAGUCAGCUUUAGUAAUACAUAAGGAUAUGCUCCUCCUAAAUGAAUCUUCUGCGGCUUUCAGAUACUUUACUGUUGUUCUCUUCCAGUUCCUGCUCCAAUUGCGUGAGUGUCGAUUGGAAGGCCCCAAUUUAGAUAAACUACUGUAAAUAAACAUGACAUGUUCAUUUCUCACCUGGAAUUGAAUGAACAGGAGAAGCUUUAGAAAUCUGGCAGGAAAAUCAGAAGUUGACAAUCACAGCUACCAAAUCCUCUUUCUCUCUGUCACAAAAAAAAAAGGUCUCAAUCCAAAAUUUGAUACCCAUAUCUCUAAUUGCCAAAAAUCGGAGACACAUAACCAAAUUUCAUAUUCACCAAGAAAUAGAAAACCAAAUGGUAACCUGUAACCAAAAUUGAAAUCAAACAAAGAAUUACCCAGACUGCUAUGCCAAUUUACUGGACAUGAACAACAGAAAAAACAAUGCACUUUAAUAAGAGGAUGGUGAAAAACAGGAAAUAAGAUCAAAGCAAUUGAGCUAGUACUUACAUUCACCAUAUUUAGUUUCCAGCUAGGUCCAGUUAUCUCUCCAAUUUUGUAUUCAGGUGGCACUCAAUAGCAAAAAGAAGAAAGAAAAAGAAAUUAAUAUGUAAUCUUGUACAUACAUGAUUGAUAUAUAAUCUUCUAAAACGAUUAUAGAAAAAUUAGGAAGUUCUACACACCUUUGUGCAUUCAUAUCUACCUCAGUUCUGAUUACUUCCAAAGAGUGUCAUUAGCACCCAUAUGAGACUUAAGUACUGUAUCAGUAUCUCAUUGCCUCUUCCCAUGUGUUGCCUGAACCAGAAGAUGCAUUCACUUGGCUAGUCCCCCCGCCACCCCCAGCUGUGGACAACUAUAUAUUUGCAUACACAUUUGAUGAAUUUAGAAACAUGAGAUACGCAUUAAUUGACAAUAAGUCUAAAGUUAUUUAGUUAGAACCAAUUUAAAACCUUAACAUGAUUGUCCAAAAAAAAAUUAACAAAACAGAGCCGUUCUGCUAUAGCUAAUCAAGAAGGGAUGCGUUUAAAACACAUUAAUCAUUAUAAAUUGAUAUAAUAAUUCCAGUAGACACAAUACUGAUUGUCAUCAAUUUUUAUUAAUUAAAAAAAAAAAAAAAACCAUCAGAGAGCCUAGCUUUUAGCAAUUCAAUGCACAAAACAAUAAAAAUUACUAUGAUAUGGAUAUUUUUCUGGUAAGCAUCAUGCAUACAGCCUCAUAGGUUUAAGACUUAAAAGUAAGAUAGUUCUGUUUUGAAUAGGAUAAUUAUUUCUAAUGAGACCAUGCGUCUGUUUUCACACCUGAUAGGAUUUUUAGGUUCUUUCCACUAUAAGUUUCAAUUCAGUUUUGAUUCCAACUGUACAAUCAAUACAAUAAAACCCAA